RNAcentral lists this unclassified non-coding RNA (348 nucleotides) under soil metagenome. Its description in RNAcentral is "partial contains 5.8S ribosomal RNA, internal transcribed spacer 2, and large subunit ribosomal RNA". The stretch from base 1 to 120 matches the Rfam family "5.8S ribosomal RNA", at positions 35 to 154 of the family's 154-position model. The record is from RNAcentral.
GAUGAAGAACGUAGCGAAAUGCGAUAAGUAAUGUGAAUUGCAGAAUUCAGUGAAUCAUCGAAUCUUUGAACGCACAUUGCGCCCGCCAGUAUUCUGGCGGGCAUGCCUGUCUGAGCGUCAUUUCAACCCUCAUGCCCCUAGGGCGUGGUGUUGGGGAUCGGCCAAAGCCCGCGAGGGACGGCUGGCCCCUAAAUCUAGUGGCGGACCCGUCGUGGCCUCCUCUGCGAAGUAGUGAUAUUCCGCAUCGGAGAGCGAUGAGCCCCUGCCGUUAAACCCCCAACUUUCCAAGGUUGACCUCAGAUCAGGUAGGAAUACCCGCUGAACUUAAGCAUAUCAAUAAGCGGAGGA